Molecule: long non-coding RNA, 2727 nt
Filed under: Sus scrofa (pig)
Lineage: Eukaryota; Metazoa; Chordata; Mammalia; Artiodactyla; Suidae
Description: lncRNA (ENSSSCG00030000581.1)
Source: RNAcentral
AACUCAGCGGGCUUUUUCAAAUUGAAGAUUCUGAAUUUCUAAUUGCUAAUAUAAAUACAUUUGGCUUAUACAGAUCUUAUAGACAAGAACCCUUUUAAAUUCAUGGAUUCAGGAGUUCCCUUGUGGCAUAGCGGGUUAAAGAGCUGGCAUUGUCACUGCAGCAGCUCAGGUCGCUGCUGUGGCACAGGUUCAACCCCUGUUCCAGGAACUUCCACAUGCCUGCUGAAAGCACAGCCAAAAAUAAUUUUUAAAAAAUAGAUAGGGAGUUCCUGUUGUGGCUCAGUGGAAACGAACCCAACUAGUAUCCAUGAGGAUGUGGGUUCCAUCCCUGGCCUCACUCUGGGGGUUAAGGACCUAGGAUAGCCACAGCUGUGGGGUAGGUCACAGGUGUGCCUCAGAUCCUGUGUUGCUGUGGCUGUGGUGCAGUCCAGCAGCUGUAGCUCUGAUUUGACUCCUAGCCUCUGAACUUCCAUAUGCUGCGGGCGCGACCCUAAAAAAGCCAAAAAUCAAAGCCAUAGCUAGAAUGAUAAAUUCACACUUUCUUUCCAAUAGUGCUUUCUGCAUUAGUCGGGUUCUUUACUGAUGAGACACAAUGGGAACUCCCUAGAAAUUUUCUUUUAUUGUCUCCUGUGUAUGCUGGUAACGUUUAUGAAGAGUCCUCAGGAUUUUCUACGUAGACAAACAUGCUUUUGCAAAUAAAGACAGCUUUACUUCUUGCUUUCUGAUCUGCAUGCCUUUUAUUUCUUUUCUUGCCUAUUUGCCCGGUAAAAGGAGCAGAAAUAGGCAGCCUUGCCUUGGGGAAGCGCUAGUCUUUCACCUUGAAAUGCCCUCUUAGCCAUAGGGUUUUCACACAUUGCCUUGUGGGUGUGGGGAAGGUCACUUCUGAUACUGAUUUGCAAGGAGGGUUUAUGUGGAUUGAGUCAGAUUUUGUCAGUGGCUUUUCAGCCUCUAUUGCAAUGAGCAUAUUUUCUCCCCUUUAUUUGCUUAUUUUAUUUUUUAUUUUAUUUUAUUUUUCCGGUCAGGUCAGGAGCAUGGCCAGGCCAGCUGCUGCGACUGCGACCCUAGACCACGGGCUCCAGGGAAAGCUGCACUUCCCCGAGCAGCCGGAAGAGGGCGGCAUCGCGCCAGGAGUCCUGGCGGCCGCGCGCGGGCAGGUGCCCCUGCGCCCACCUGGGGGGAGACACUGCAGGGAGAAGGGUUGAAGGGAGAGGAAAGCCGUCUCUUGAAGAAGGUCCCGGAAAACCAACUAGGAAGAAAGAAUGAAUCUGCCUUAUCUGAAUUAAAACGUUUGAAAAUAUGAACGAACACCUUGCAUCAGACGUUCAGCGCCUCAAAACAAAAACAGGCAAUAAAAAGAAGACACGAAAUGAGAAUUCCAUUUGUAGAUGAUAUGACCGUGUACCUGGAAAUCCUAGAGAAUAAAGAAUAAAAGGAACAGUUUUGGAAAACAGCCAGUAAUGAGUCAGGAUGCAAAGUAAGCACAUAAAAUUUGUCGCCAUCAGAGGGAGCCCGGGAUUUGAGAGGAUGAAGCAGUCUGGCGGUCAGAUGCUCCCACUGGACCAAGAAGAAAAAACCAGGCCACCUGCAGGUGUCACAUGUCAACGUGUUGGGGACCUGAGAGGGACAAGGACGGUGGACUUGCCGGCACAAGCGUGGCUGAGGGGCCAGGGACUGGCUUGGCCUGCGCAGGCCGAGUUCUGGGAAAGCGAACCUGGUGAGAACCCGGCAGCCCCCCUCGCGUUUCCCCACGUGGAUGCGGGCGGAGCCCCAGCAGCAGGUGGCGGCCCCCACGUGGGGGUGGGUCCAAGGCAGCAGGCACCCGAGUCUCAGGAGCGGGGUCCCCACCAGAGGAAAGAGGCCCCCUGCAGACACACAGCUGCCGUUGCUCUGAAAAGACUGGCCAGGGUUCGAGCUGGAGUGGGAGGCUUGGAAGCGGAGCCCAGAGACGCAGAAGGCCUCUGUCACCGUUGCAGGCAGAGGAGCCGGGCUGCCCGGGGGCUGGGAGGAGGGAGCAGGAGGUUGUAUAUGCGUCUUUCAAAGCCACACUCCGUUUAGCCUGGGUGAGCAAUGAGGUCCUGCUGGACAGCGCAGGGAACUAGAUCCGGUCUCUUGGGCUAGAACACGAUGGAAGAGAGUGCGAGAAAGAGAACGUAUAUACAUGUGUGCCUGGGCCACUUUGCUGCACAGCAGACACUGACGCAGCUUGUAAAUCAGCUGUACUUACAUAAGAUAAAAUGCACUCUACUCUAAAACAAGUAAAUACAUAAAUAAACCUGCAGUCCAGCCCGAGCGAGCUCAACUUCUGGCAAAGUGACCUGAUGAAUACCUGACACACUUGGAGCCAAAAACAGAGGAAAGGAGGCCGCCUCUCCUCAGGGUCGUGGGUGGCGCCUCUGGCUCUUAUUCAGGCCGUGCCCAGAUGUGCCCACUAACAAGGCGGGAGGAAAACCGCGGACACAGACCAGUAGGUGGCCCUGACAGUGGAGUCACCCUAAAAGGACUUUAACUGUGACCAGUGGGUUCAGUAAUAGAAUUCAGGAGUUCCCGUUGGGGUUCAGCAGGUUAUGAACCCACCAGUAUCCACGAGGACACACGGGUCCCACCCCUGGCCUCACUCAGUGGGUUAGGGAUCCUGAGGGGCUGUGGCUGUGGGGCAGGCCGGCAGCUGCAGCUCUGAUUGGACCCCUAGUCUGGGAACCUCCAUAUCCUGCGGGUGCGGCCCUAAAC